Oreochromis niloticus (Nile tilapia) is the source of this 1270-nucleotide long non-coding RNA. RefSeq lists it as uncharacterized. NCBI's taxonomy places the organism in Eukaryota, Metazoa, Chordata, Actinopteri, Cichliformes, Cichlidae. The record is from RefSeq and is a predicted model, not a curated record. The transcript has 3 exons.
CAACUGCAUUACUCCUCUUUCAUCAGCUUGUUUUCAAGUCCAUGCAAUCCCAGGUUUUCUCAGGCUGGAGUAACACAGCAAUAAUGGCAGCAUACCCAGCCAGACUGCACCCCCUCCCCACCCUCCAACAGCCUCAAAAAACAGACGAGAGGGGAGGGAAUGGAGGAGAUUCACAGACAGACCCCGGGGGGAGGAAGGUGGAGAAGUACGAAGAAAAGAAGGGAAAACACAAAAAGCAAAAAAUAAGGCUUCCCUGUUGGAAAUGUGCUCCAUAAAUGAAGCUGGCUCGUCUGACACAGAACCUGAGAAUGCCAGAUAUGAAUUCAGACGAAAUUACCACAGGUAUUCAACCCAAAAUAAAGAUGCAUUUAGCAGACCAGGCAGGGAAAUAAACACAACCAAAGAUGAGAAUUGUGGGAUGUGCAAGAAGAGGAAUAGAGGAUUUCCUCUGGGACGGGACACAAGAGCAGUGACAACAGGAAAUCAGUGUGAAAAUGACAGAAAGAGGAUUCCCACAGCAUGCCUUCCCCUGCCUCCUUCACUGUUUUCUCAUUGCUUUUCUUCUCUCCUCCGGCUCCUUUUCUCACCUCCCCUUUAGCAUCUUUGAGUGCGUGCCACCGUCUGGUUUCUCCAGGGAUCUGAGGUUACUCAUCUACAGCUGAAGGAAAGAUGAGACCAAUGGUGUUAACUGCGCCUCCUGUUUUGGAGGAAUUAGACAAUGCGUGUGGUGUUCGUAGUGUUUUAAUUUAUAAAUUAAUGACCUAAAACAACAACCGGGAUAAAGGUUUGUGCUUGACAGAUAAUCUGCAGGCAGCGUUUUAGAUAAUCAACGAUGCUGGAACGUUUUUCAUGGAUGAUAAUUUACUUGCCAUAUGUAACAAAAACGCUUUUUCAAUUACACAUUGAUAAAGAAAUGGUAACAAAAAACAUGUCAUAAUACAUGACCCAAUUACAGAUUAGGGAGCGUUGAGUAAAACAUCCCCCUUGAGCCAACAGGUGGAUCUCAGAAGGAGACAUAAGAACAUUUUGGAGCUUAAAUAAAUCGCCAAAAGUUGGAGGAUGUGUUUGGUGUAUGAUGUGAGGAGAGUAAUACAUGUAUUGUCUGUGCCUGAUAUUUAUGCCCUAAUAUCUUCAUAAUUGGAAAGGAAAAUUCUGUAUUUAAAGGAUAAUGUUGGUGCGAAGUCACUGGUUACCACUGUGACAAAGAAUCUGUAAUCAACCUACUGUUUAUUUCUGUUUGAGUAACAUAUAAAGAAACUAAUAAACCAAU